GGUUAAGUUAGAAAGGGCGCACGGUGGAUGCCUUGGCACUAGGAGCCGAUGAAGGACGGGACGAACACCGAUAUGCUUCGGGGAGCUGUAAGCAAGCUUUGAUCCGGAGAUUUCCGAAUGGGGAAACCCACCACUCGUAAUGGAGUGGUAUCCAUAUCUGAAUACAUAGGAUAUGAGAAGGCAGACCCGGGGAACUGAAACAUCUAAGUACCCGGAGGAAGAGAAAGCAAAUGCGAUUCCCUGAGUAGCGGCGAGCGAAACGGGACCAGCCCAAACCAAGAGGCUUGCCUCUUGGGGUUGUAGGACACUCUGUACGGAGUUACAAAGGAACGAGGUAGAUGAAGAGGUCUGGAAAGGCCCGCCAUAGGAGGUAACAGCCCUGUAGUCAAAACUUCGUUCUCUCCUGAGUGGAUCCUGAGUACGGCGGAACACGUGAAAUUCCGUCGGAAUCCGGGAGGACCAUCUCCCAAGGCUAAAUACUUCCUAGUGACCGAUAGUGAACCAGUACCGUGAGGGAAAGGUGAAAAGCACCCCGGAAGGGGAGUGAAAGAGAUCCUGAAACCGUGUGCCUACAAGUAGUCAGAGCCCGUUAACGGGUGAUGGCGUGCCUUUUGUAGAAUGAACCGGCGAGUUACGAUCCCGUGCAAGGUUAAGCAGAAGAUGCGGAGCCGCAGCGAAAGCGAGUCUGAAUAGGGCGAAUUGAGUACGUGGUCGUAGACCCGAAACCAGGUGAUCUACCCAUGUCCAGGGUGAAGUUCAGGUAACACUGAAUGGAGGCCCGAACCCACGCACGUUGAAAAGUGCGGGGAUGAGGUGUGGGUAGGGGUGAAAUGCCAAUCGAACCUGGAGAUAGCUGGUUCUCUCCGAAAUAGCUUUAGGGCUAGCCUCAAGGUAAGAGUCUCGGAGGUAGAGCACUGAUUGGACUAGGGGCCCCUACCGGGUUACCGAAUUCAGUCAAACUCCGAAUGCCGAUGACUUAUCCUUGGGAGUCAGACUGCGAGUGAUAAGAUCCGUAGUCGAAAGGGAAACAGCCCAGACCGCCAGCUAAGGUCCCAAAGUAUACGUUAAGUGGAAAAGGAUGUGGAGUUGCUUAGACAACCAGGAUGUUGGCUUAGAAGCAGCCACCAUUUAAAGAGUGCGUAAUAGCUCACUGGUCGAGUGACUCUGCGCCGAAAAUGUACCGGGGCUAAACGUAUCACCGAAGCUGCGGACUGUUCUUCGAACAGUGGUAGGAGAGCGUUCUAAGGGCUGUGAAGCAAGACCGGAAGGACUUGUGGAGCGCUUAGAAGUGAGAAUGCCGGUAUGAGUAGCGAAAGAGGGGUGAGAAUCCCCUCCACCGAAUGCCUAAGGUUUCCUGAGGAAGGCUCGUCCGCUCAGGGUUAGUCGGGACCUAAGCCGAGGCCGAAAGGCGUAGGCGAUGGAUAACAGGUUGAUAUUCCUGUACCACCUCCUCACCAUUUGAGCAAUGGGGGGACGCAGGAGGAUAGGGUAAGCGCGGUAUUGGAUAUCCGCGUCCAAGCAGUUAGGCUGGGAAAUAGGCAAAUCCGUUUCCCGUGAAGGCUGAGCUGUGAUGGCGAGCGAAUUAUAGUAGCGAAGUUCCUGAUUCCACACUGCCAAGAAAAGCCUCUAGCGAGGUGAGAGGUGCCCGUACCGCAAACCGACACAGGUAGGCGAGGAGAGAAUCCUAAGGUGAUCGAGAGAACUCUCGUUAAGGAACUCGGCAAAAUGACCCCGUAACUUCGGGAGAAGGGGUGCUCUGUUAGGGUGCAAGCCCGAGAGAGCCGCAGUGAAUAGGCCCAGGCGACUGUUUAGCAAAAACACAGGUCUCUGCGAAGCCGUAAGGCGAAGUAUAGGGGCUGACGCCUGCCCGGUGCUGGAAGGUUAAGAGGAGCGCUUAGCGUAAGCGAAGGUGCGAAUUGAAGCCCCAGUAAACGGCGGCCGUAACUAUAACGGUCCUAAGGUAGCGAAAUUCCUUGUCGGGUAAGUUCCGACCCGCACGAAAGGCGCAACGAUCUGGGCACUGUCUCAACGAGAGACUCGGUGAAAUUAUAGUACCUGUGAAGAUGCAGGUUACCCGCGACAGGACGGAAAGACCCCGUGGAGCUUUACUGCAGCCUGAUAUUGAAUGUUGGUACAGCUUGUACAGGAUAGGUAGGAGCCUUGGAAACCGGAGCGCCAGCUUCGGUGGAGGCAUCGGUGGGAUACUACCCUGGCUGUAUUGACCUUCUAACCCGCCGCCCUUAUCGGGCGGGGAGACAGUGUCAGGUGGGCAGUUUGACUGGGGCGGUCGCCUCCUAAAAGGUAACGGAGGCGCCCAAAGGUUCCCUCAGAAUGGUUGGAAAUCAUUCGCAGAGUGUAAAGGCACAAGGGAGCUUGACUGCGAGACCUACAAGUCGAGCAGGGACGAAAGUCGGGCUUAGUGAUCCGGUGGUUCCGCAUGGAAGGGCCAUCGCUCAACGGAUAAAAGCUACCCCGGGGAUAACAGGCUUAUCUCCCCCAAGAGUCCACAUCGACGGGGAGGUUUGGCACCUCGAUGUCGGCUCAUCGCAUCCUGGGGCUGUAGUCGGUCCCAAGGGUUGGGCUGUUCGCCCAUUAAAGCGGUACGCGAGCUGGGUUCAGAACGUCGUGAGACAGUUCGGUCCCUAUCCGUCGCGGGCGCAGGAAAUUUGAGAGGAGCUGUCCUUAGUACGAGAGGACCGGGAUGGACGCACCGCUGGUGUACCAGUUGUUCUGCCAAGGGCAUCGCUGGGUAGCUAUGUGCGGACGGGAUAAGUGCUGAAAGCAUCUAAGCAUGAAGCCCCCCUCAAGAUGAGAUUUCCCAUUCCGCAAGGAAGUAAGAUCCCUGAAAGAUGAUCAGGUUGAUAGGUCUGAGGUGGAAGUGUGGCGACACAUGGAGCUGACAGAUACUAAUCGAUCGAGGACUUAACCAA
This 2930-nucleotide ribosomal RNA is filed under the name Bacillus velezensis. RNAcentral describes it as "23S ribosomal RNA". It matches the Rfam family "Bacterial large subunit ribosomal RNA". Lineage: Bacteria; Bacillati; Bacillota; Bacilli; Caryophanales; Bacillaceae. The record is from RNAcentral.